Molecule: non-coding RNA, 72 nt
Organism: Bos taurus (domestic cattle)
Lineage: Eukaryota; Metazoa; Chordata; Mammalia; Artiodactyla; Bovidae
Source: Rfam
UCCCUGGUGGUCCAGUGGUUAAGACUCUGAGUUUCCACUUCAGGGGCUCAGGUUCAAUUCCUGGUUAGGGAA